Molecule: ribosomal RNA, 207 nt
Filed under: uncultured bacterium
Lineage: Bacteria
Description: partial 16S ribosomal RNA
Rfam family: Bacterial small subunit ribosomal RNA
Source: RNAcentral
CACGUAGGCGGAUCAGAAAGUUGGGGGUGAAAUCCCGGGGCUCAACCCCGGAACGGCCUCCAAAACUCCUGGUCUUGAGUUCGAGAGAGGUGAGUGGAAUUCCGAGUGUAGAGGUGAAAUUCGUAGAUAUUCGGAGGAACACCAGUGGCGAAGGCGGCUCACUGGCUCGAUACUGACGCUGAGGUGCGAAAGUGUGGGGAGCAAACA